CCUAGCCGGUUGCAUUUCGUGCUACUUCGAAAUGCCACAUCCGCUUCUUCCAGCUUAGCGGACAGUCGCUCAGUGGUGUCUUGAGACUGCGGCGGUGUCUGGAAUUGCGGCUUCUCCAGCGCCCUCCGGAGGCUUUGCUUCGGCUGAGCAAUAAAUAUUGGACAGCAGUACGAGGGAAGGAUCUGAAUCAGGCAAGGAGGACGGGCACUGUCCAGGAGGAAAAAGCAAACAGGAAAGUGUGCUGAGCAGGUGCCUUGGCGAGGGAGAGAGGGAACGGAAAUGUCUUCACACACCCCCAGAAAGAGAGAGAGAGAGAAUGAAGUUUCUGUCUCUUACGUGAUGUGUGAGUGGAUGGACAGAUUGUCCUCAGCUUUAAGGGCAAUUCAGGGUGAUCUGUCCUAAAAUCGACGCUCUGUGGAAUGAGAAAAAUGCGCUCUGUAGGCCAUGCCCACUGCGUGUGCUGGGAGGCUCUGCUACAUCAAAUGGGCAGAUGUGCCGUCUCCACAGAGGCCCCAAGCCUGGGUGUGAGCCAAGGCUGCUUCGAACAUAUCCGCUAUCUAAGCGGUCUGUGGAUGCUCAGCUGCAGCCUCCUGCUGGGUUGGAGAGGGAUUUGCAUUAUUAAUAGGUUCCGGAAAUUGAACUGAAGUCUCUUGUUGAAUUGCUAAAGGUAAAGCCUCUUCCAAUGACUCUGGAGGCAGAGGUGGGCCCCCAUGCUGGAUAGCAGGAGGUUCUACAUCAUUACCUGGCCCUGAGAGCUGAGCUGUAGCCUCCUGGUGGACUGCAGAAGUUCCCACCUCUGCACUAGGCUGUGUUCCUAUGGUGAGCUGCAUGUCUGGAGGCUUAACAGAGACAUUGGGCAAAUCUGAAUGCUGAGUUUGAUGGUGACCUGGAAUCGAAACUGUGACUUCAUGAUGUUCUGGAGGCUGAGCUGGGUCUCCUGCUGGGUCUGAGAAGAUUCAACCUACCCAGAAGACUCAGAAGGCUGAGCUGGCUGCUCCUGCUCACUGGGAGAAAGUGCAGGCUCUAUAGGAGGACCUGGAGGUUCAGUUGGGGCUUUCUCUUGGUUUGCAGAAGGUUCCAUCCCUUCUGGAGGCUAAGCUGAGGUCUCCUGCUGGGUCUGAGAAGAUUCAACCUCCCCAGAAGACUCAGAAGGCUGAGCUGGCUGCUCCUGCUCACUGAUGGAAAGUUCACGCUCCAUAGGAGAACCUGGAGGCUCAGUUGGGGCCUCCUGUUGGGUCGCAGAACGUUCCACCUCCUCUGGAAACUGAAUUGGGGCCUCCUGCUGGGCUUGGGAAGAUUCUGUCUCAUUGGUAGGCUCCGAAGUUAUGGUAACCUCCAUAUCUGCAGGUUCAACUGUAAUGUUGGGCAAGUUAUAAUGAGCUUGAUCCUCACCUGGAGGUUGAACUGUCACCUCAUGGUUCGGUAGAGUUUGAGCUUAAGUCUCCAUAGAGUACUCUGGAGGCCCAGCUGGGACCCCCUGCUGGGUUGAAGAAGGUUCUUCCUCCUCAGGGAGCUGUGGAAGCUGCGCUGGGGCUUCUUGCUGGAGUGAAGAGGACUGGAUGUCUUCAAGGGUCUCUGGAUUUUGAGUUUCAGGCUCUAGAUGGAAUUGAGAAAGUCCAACUUGCUCAGGGAGCCCUAGGGCCUCAUCCAAGUUAACCGGGAGUUCUGGAGGCAGCUGCCGGGAUACAGUGUGUCUAUACUCCAAUAUUCAGCCUGCAAAGUCUGUUUCUGAUGCUGAAGUUUGGAUAAUUGGUGUGGAAUUCCAACAAUCUUAGCAAGGCUCCAACGCUGAGCUAGAUCUUUCUUCAGGUUCUUGGGCGAAACAAUAAAUUCGGUUGGUUUUGAAACCUUA
This 1852-nucleotide long non-coding RNA is filed under the name Macaca mulatta (Rhesus monkey). RNAcentral's name for it is "lncRNA (ENSMMUG00000051106.1)". The record is from RNAcentral. Lineage: Eukaryota; Metazoa; Chordata; Mammalia; Primates; Cercopithecidae.